GACGAACGCUGGCGGCGUGCUUAACACAUGCAAGUCGAACGAUGAACCCGGAGCUUGCUCCGGUGGAUUAGUGGCGAACGGGUGAGUAACACGUGAGUAACCUGCCCUUGACUCUGGGAUAACUGCGGGAAACUGUAGCUAAUACCGGAUACGACCCUCGGCGGCAUUGCCAGGGGGUGGAAAGAAUUUCGGUCAAGGAUGGACUCGCGGCCUAUCAGCUAGUUGGUGAGGUAACGGCUCACCACGGCGACGACGGGUAGCCGGCCUGAGAGGGUGACCGGCCACACUGGGACUGAGACACGGCCCAGACUCCUACGGGAGGCAGCAGUGGGGAAUAUUGCACAAUGGGCGCAAGCCUGAUUCAGCAACGCCGCGUGAGGGAUGACGGCCUUCGGGUUGUAAACCUCUUUUAGUAGGGAAGAAGCGAAAGUGACGGUACCUGCAGAAAAAGCACCGGCUAACUACGUGCCAGCCGCCGCCGUAA
Molecule: ribosomal RNA, 484 nt
Filed under: uncultured bacterium
Lineage: Bacteria
Description: partial 16S ribosomal RNA
Rfam family: Bacterial small subunit ribosomal RNA
Source: RNAcentral